CUUUAUGAGGUGCAACCAAAACAGCUGUUUGACAUAGCAACAGGGAUAUUCUGGCAGGCUGUCGAGAAUUAGUUCUUGAAUACUGUUGUGGUUUUGAUCACUAAAAUGGCUGUGACUUUUGGACUCUCUUUGAGUGUUUCUUGGAUUUGUUGCCUGCUAAUUGGAGGGAUAACUUGUUUUACACUUAAAGGUAACGCUCAUGGGCAUCCUGCCUACACUGGACCUGAACCGACUGGAUCCUAUGCCCAAGCAAGUGUGGUGUCUGGUCCAAAUGUUAAAGCUACUGGCCACAAUGCCACGUGAGCGGAAGCUACUGGCCACAAUGCCACGUGAGCGGAAGCUACUGGCCACAAUGCCACGUCAGCGGAAGCUACUGGCCACAAUGCCACGUCAGCGGAAGCUACUGGCCACAAUGCCACGUCAGCGGAAGCUACUGGCCACAAUGCCACGUCAAGUGUGAAGUCCGGCCCCUCAGCAGAAGCUUCAGGCCCCGGCGCCUCAGCAGAAGCUUCAGGCCCCUCAGCAGAAGCUUCAGGCCCCGGCGCCUCAGCAGAAGCUUCAGGCCCCGGCGCCUCAGCAGAAGCUUCAGGCGCCUCAGCAGAAGCUUCAGGCGCCUCAGCAGAAGCUUCAGGCGCCUCAGCAGAAGCUUCAGGCGCCUCAGCAGAAGCUUCAGGCGCCUCAGCAGAAGCUUCAGGCGCCUCAGCAGAAGCUUCAGGCGCCUCAGCAGAAGCUUCAGGCGCCUCAGCAGAAGCUUCAGGCGCCUCAGCAGAAGCUUUAGGCGCCUCAGCAGAAGCUUCAGGCGCCUCAGCAGAAGCUUCAGGCCCCUCAGCAGAAGCUUCAGGCCCCUCAGCAGAAGCUUCAGGCCCCUCAGCAGAAGCUUCAGGCCCCUCAGCAGAAGCUUCAGGCCCCGGCGCCUCAGCAGAAGCUUCAGGCGCCGGGGCAGAAGCUUCAGGCGCCGGGGCAGAAGCUUCAGGCGCCGGGGCAGAAGCUUCAGGCGCCGGGGCAGAAGCUUCAGGCGCCGGGGCAGAAGCUUCAGGCGCCGGGGCAGAAGCUUCAGGCCCCUCCGCAAAAGCUUCAGGCCCCUCAGCAGAAGCGCCUCAGCAGAAGCGUCCGGCCCCGGCGCCUCAGCAGAAGCGUCCGGCGCCUCAGCAGAAGCGUCCGGCGCCUCAGCAGAAGCGUCCGGCGCCUCAGCAGAAGCGUCCGGCGCCUCAGCAGAAGCGUCCGGCCCCGGCGCCUCAGCAGAAGCGUCCGGCCCCGGCGCCUCAGCAGAAGCGUCAGGCCACUCAGCAGAAGCUUCAGGCCACUCAGCAGAAGCGUCCGGCCCCGGCGCCUCAGCAGAAGCGACAAGCCUUGAACAGACGGCCAUACCACUCAACUAGGGACUAUCCCUGUUACCCUUUUCUGCUAGAGGCACAGUAAAGGUAACUGAGGUGGGGAAAUGUGCGAACUAAUGCGCUUGUUUGAAAUGAGGAUCUCCUUCACUUGUACAUCGUCAUGCAAAUUGUAUACAGAGGUGGAUGAUACAAUGUUAUGAAUCGUUUUUAUAAACAUACGACUAAAUUGACUUCUGAUGUAGCGAUAUUGCAGACACACUUUUAGGUUCUACGGUUAUGCUUUUGAUUUAGCCUGGUGUUCCUGCUACUCUUGCAUGAUUUGCUCAAUAAACCAUUUGACUUUCAAAA
Oncorhynchus kisutch (coho salmon) is the source of this 1682-nucleotide long non-coding RNA. RefSeq lists it as uncharacterized. The transcript is spliced from 3 exons. Lineage: Eukaryota; Metazoa; Chordata; Actinopteri; Salmoniformes; Salmonidae. The record is from RefSeq and is a predicted model, not a curated record.